AUGGAAGAUCUUACCACAGGGAAUGUCCA
Molecule: non-coding RNA, 29 nt
Filed under: Mus musculus (house mouse)
Lineage: Eukaryota; Metazoa; Chordata; Mammalia; Rodentia; Muridae
Source: RNAcentral